ACGGUCUUGUAGAGGAUAAUUUUAUUCUGUAUGUUUAGUUUGGAGCGUCGGCCCGUGAGCCAAUAGAAUUUUUUUAGUUUGUCCUUUAGUUGCUUCGUUUUACCUGAGAUGUGUUUUUUCCACGUUAGUCUCCUGUCCAGGGUCAUGCCCAGGUAUCGGACUGAGUCCCUGCUAGGAAACUAUUCACAAAUUGAACAAAUUUUCAUUAGUAAAAAUACACUAAUUAAAAGGAUUAAUUUGCGAACUUUUAUGAUUGCGUAUUUUGAAUUAGCUCCUUAACUUUCUUUUUACAUUCCUUUUAACGUACGAAGUGUGUGUAUAAAGAUUUACAAAUUGUAGUUAAUCGACGGAAACACUUAUAACCAAUUAUAUAUAACUAAGGCCAGGAAGAAUUGUUAGACAAAUUAUUCUAAUUACAUAUUACAUUAAUCUCGAAUUAUUCCUUAAGUCCUAGGUUAUCCUUUAAGCUCUUAAAUGUUAAAAAACUUCGCUUAUGAGCUGAGAGAUUUAAAUUUUUAAUCUUCGCCAUCUGCUGAUUGAACAUUAUUAAACGUUACUUACAUGAUUUACAAAAAACAAAAUUAAACGAGUUAUAGGGAGUGUAGAAUGAAGAAGGCUUCCAAUAUUACGCUCAUGUGUGAUGCGUGUAAUACGUAACAUUUCAAAGAAAUGCAUGCUUUUAA
This is a long non-coding RNA of Bombus impatiens (common eastern bumble bee), 683 nucleotides long. RefSeq lists it as uncharacterized. The record is from RefSeq and is a predicted model, not a curated record. The transcript is spliced from 2 exons. NCBI's taxonomy places the organism in Eukaryota, Metazoa, Arthropoda, Insecta, Hymenoptera, Apidae.